UUCCUAAUAAAAACUAUGAAGAAGACAAUAUAAAUGAGAGACAAAUAUAGUUAAAAUCUAAAAAAUGCUUCGUCAAAAGAUAAUUAAACCAUGUAAUUUGAGCACUUGAGUCAUUCUAAUAAUAUAUGAAUAACAUGUAUUUUUCAAAUAAAAACUAUGACCACACUAUAAUGACAAACAAAUAACAGAAGUAACAAAAAAACAUUCUACACACCUUUAACAACUUUCACUUUUAAAAUUUAGCUGGACUCUUGUUUUCAUUCAGAGUGGAAAUUUGGCAGCCAUCACUCUCUUGAGCCUUGGUACCAUUAUCAACCGCAACAUCAAACUUGGACAUUGG
Molecule: long non-coding RNA, 340 nt
Filed under: Trifolium pratense (red clover)
Lineage: Eukaryota; Viridiplantae; Streptophyta; Magnoliopsida; Fabales; Fabaceae
Description: long non-coding RNA (TPRA_LNC004683)
Source: RNAcentral